GCGGAUUAGGGUAGAGGUUUAGGGGUGGGAGCGCAGAGGUAGUAAUAGGGGAGUGCUCCUUUGGGUCUGGAGUUUCUGGUUCGUAGUGUUGUGGCUGUAGUUUGGGGCUAGUGGUGUUGGCUUUUUUGCAUCCCGUACUAGUUUAUUAUACACUUAUUUUUGUGUUUGUUAUAUUGUUAGUUUGUUUUGUGUACCAUACUAGUUUAUAUGUGUUUACUUUUUAUAUUUGUUAUACUGUUAUUGGUCCUAAGCCGGGGGUCUAUUGGAAACAGCCUCUCUACUUCUCUCGAGGUAGUGGUAUGGUCUGCGUACACUCUACCCUCCCCAGACCCACUAGGUGGGAAUACACUGGGU
This 354-nucleotide long non-coding RNA is filed under the name Capsicum annuum. RNAcentral's name for it is "long non-coding RNA (CANN_LNC018596)". The record is from RNAcentral. Lineage: Eukaryota; Viridiplantae; Streptophyta; Magnoliopsida; Solanales; Solanaceae.